GCUGGAGUGGCGGAAUGGCAUACGCGUCGGUCUCAAAAACCGAUGUCCUUACGGGCUUGUGGGUUCAACUCCCACCUCCAGCACCA
Molecule: transfer RNA, 86 nt
Filed under: Candidatus Omnitrophota bacterium
Lineage: Bacteria; Pseudomonadati; Candidatus Omnitrophota
Description: Candidatus Omnitrophica bacterium (sediment metagenome) tRNA-Leu
Rfam family: tRNA
About the family: Transfer RNA (tRNA) molecules are approximately 80 nucleotides in length. Their secondary structure includes four short double-helical elements and three loops (D, anti-codon, and T loops). Further hydrogen bonds mediate the characteristic L-shaped molecular structure. tRNAs have two regions of fundamental functional importance: the anti-codon, which is responsible for specific mRNA codon recognition, and the 3' end, to which the tRNAs corresponding amino acid is attached (by aminoacyl-tRNA synthetases). tRNAs cope with the degeneracy of the genetic code in two manners: having more than one tRNA (with a specific anti-codon) for a particular amino acid; and 'wobble' base-pairing, i.e. permitting non-standard base-pairing at the 3rd anti-codon position.
Source: RNAcentral